This is a long non-coding RNA of Papaver somniferum (opium poppy), 832 nucleotides long. RefSeq lists it as uncharacterized. The record is from RefSeq and is a predicted model, not a curated record. NCBI's taxonomy places the organism in Eukaryota, Viridiplantae, Streptophyta, Magnoliopsida, Ranunculales, Papaveraceae. The transcript has 5 exons.
UCCCUCGUUCUCUUCUCCCAGUUCUGAAACUAGGGUUAGGUAUUGAAGCUGUUUGAAAAGAAAAAGAAAACUGAUGUUAUUGAAGUUGUUUUUGUUGAAGACAUAGAUGUUAGUGAAAGACCAGAGUGUAUUUGGAAGAAAAGUUCUACAUAUUUAGGGAUUCAGAGAUAGUAUGAAUUGAUGUUGUCGACGAUCUAACCAGUGCUUGCAUUAAUGGGUUUCUUUUGAUGAACAUAGGGUUUUCGAAAGGUUGAUUCAGAGAAGUGGGAAUUUUCAAAUGAAUGGUUUCUAGGAGGACAGAAGCACCUACUGAAGAAUAUAAAGAGGAGGAGACAUAUUUUUGUGACAAAAAUCGCCAAUUACUUCGGUUGGCUUCCCAAGGGUGUUACAAGUGUGAUUUACGGAUUCGGUCCUACUGAUGGUUAAUGGUGCAUUCACUUCCGAUCAUAUUGAUGUUGCCAAUGUUUGUUUUCCUACAUCUGGCAAUUAGUAUAUCGUAUUUUAGAUGAUCGAUAUUCAUACAAGGGCUGAAUAUCAUUUUGUUGAAGGAAGAUAGAAUGUAGCUUGAGUGUGCAGCGGAAAGGAUUAGGAAAACUCUUAAUGCAGUUGGUUGAGUGCCUUGGAUAUGAGAAUAGGAAAGGUGCUGUUAUAUUAUCUGGUCAUAAAAGAAAUGUGCUUUGCUAUGGAUUUUACAUAAGUAAGUUAAGUUGUUCUUGCUAGAUAAUGGUAUGAUAACCUCAUGCUUGCAUAUGUUGAUGACUGUGGUGGAGUUGCUAAGAAGAGAAGAUUGCCUGCCACCCUCGGGAAGCAUAGAGAAUUUGCAAAAUGAACU